Molecule: ribosomal RNA, 473 nt
Filed under: uncultured Magnetococcus sp.
Lineage: Bacteria; Pseudomonadati; Pseudomonadota; Magnetococcia; Magnetococcales; Magnetococcaceae
Description: bacterial SSU rRNA
Rfam family: Bacterial small subunit ribosomal RNA
Source: RNAcentral
UUCGGGACGCCGGCGAGUGGCGAACGGGUGAGUAACACGUGGAGACCUGCCCUGAGGUGGGGGAUAACAGCUAGAAAUGGCUGCUAAUACCGCAUACGCCUUACGAGGGAAAGAUUUAUUGCCUCAGGAGGGUUCCGCGUCGGAUUAGCUUGUUGGUGGGGUAACGGCCUACCAAGGCGAUGAUCCGUAGCUGGUCUUAGAGGAUGAUCAGCCACACUGGGACUGAGACACGGCCCAGACUCCUACGGGAGGCAGCAGUGGGGAAUAUUGCGCAAUGGAGGCAACUCUGACGCAGCGAUGCCGCGUGGGUGAAUAAGGCCUUAGGGCUGUAAAGCCCUUUCAGUGGGAAAGAUGAUGACGGUACCCACAGAAGAAGCCCCGGCUAACUCCGUGCCAGCAGCCGCGGUAAUACGGAGGGGGCGAGCGUUGUUCGGAAUUAUUGGGCGUAAAGAGCGCGUAGGCGGUUUAUUAAG